RNAcentral lists this unclassified non-coding RNA (206 nucleotides) under uncultured fungus. RNAcentral describes it as "sequence contains ITS1". Lineage: Eukaryota; Fungi. The record is from RNAcentral.
UUAACAAAUUUUGCUUUUCGCUCAGACUGCAAACUUCAGACAGUGUUCACAGGUGUCUUCGGCGGGCGCGGGCCCGGGGGCGGAUGCCCCCCGGCGGCCGUGAGGCGGGCCCGCCGAAGCAACAAGGUUCGUUAAACACGGGUGGGAGGUUGGACCCAGAGGGCCCUCACUCGGUAAUGAUCCUUCCGCAGGUUCACCUACGGAAA